CUGUUCUCUGUCUCAGGCCCAAAGCGGCGUCCCACGUUAUCCGGCUCUCCGUAGUAGAGUCACGAAGUCAAAGUCUUCCUUACUGAACCAGUUCAUGACGGUAUCGAUGUUCUCCCUCCACUCCGUCUCGUUGCUAUCCGGGUCGGUGUACGGCUCCACCAGGGACCGCUGGAUGGCCUCCCCUUUGUACUUGGCGCCUCCCCCGGGAUAGUGGAAUGACGCUGUUUUCCUCCCCUGCAAGUGCAAGAAGAAAAGUCUGUCAGGGCCAUUUCUCCUAUCUUUCUCAUAAUGUGCAAAGUCCAAUGUGUCAGCAUCCCUGCCCCAGUCCAAAGGCGUGGAAAACAUGUGGCUUCAGAGUCAGACAGGAUUGGGCUUCGUUCCUGGCAUCACCAGGCUCUCGUGGAAUCUAAAACACCGUUAAUUGUGAGACCUGCCGUUAUGUUAUGUGCUCCUACGAAGAAAAAUGCUGCCUAUGAAACCACGACACUCCAGUGACUGGCAUAUGCGUUCCAAUUUGGGACGGCAAAAUGAAGAAAACAGUUCCUCAGAAUGGAAGAAAAAUGGCACUUUCUAAGUUGGUGAUGACCUAAGAAGCCACCACAAGCCUUCCCUGGUGUGUGCAGUGGACAGCUAUUAUGAUUGCCUGCCCAGCACCCCCUCCCCCGUCUGCUGGUUUGGAACAUCUGACAUCCCCUGGUGGCUCUCCUCCCUACUCUUGCUCCAUGCAAGAUGUGUUGGGUCUACAUCAGGCUCCAGAGUUGAUCAAAGUUCACAUUGAUAAUUCUGCCCCAGCUCCGCUGUGGAUCAGAACACCUGGAGCGUAACGAGCUGGCACGUUCGACGUGAUGGAAAAGUUCUGGAGGUGGAUGGUGGUGGCGGCUGCACAGCACUGUGAAUGCACUUAAUGCCGCUGCACGGUGCACUUUAAGACGGUCAGAAACUUGGUUCUGUAUAAAGAAAGGAAGAACAUCAAAGAAGGAAUAAGUAAAGGCAGUGUCUGCAGUCCCCCAGCCCUCCCCCUCCCAACCUAAGACCCACGAGCCAUGAGCUGGAAUCACGAGGUGCCAUGAUCAGAGCUGCAGGUGAGCAACAGGUGGGACUACAGGAACAGAGCAACACCCUUGAUGCUUCUUCGCAAU
This is a long non-coding RNA of Balaenoptera acutorostrata (minke whale), 1139 nucleotides long. RefSeq lists it as uncharacterized. Lineage: Eukaryota; Metazoa; Chordata; Mammalia; Artiodactyla; Balaenopteridae. The transcript is spliced from 5 exons. The record is from RefSeq and is a predicted model, not a curated record.